Molecule: long non-coding RNA, 505 nt
Organism: Bos indicus x Bos taurus (hybrid cattle)
Lineage: Eukaryota; Metazoa; Chordata; Mammalia; Artiodactyla; Bovidae
Source: Ensembl
UGAGCAACACGUGACUCGGGCUGUGUCUGAAAGACUCACCUUGGGACUCUGGCUUUCUCACAGGGAGGCUUAAGCCUGACAGACGCACCUCCUGCCAUCCUGCACUCCCACCCUGGUCGGCGAUGCCCUGAGGGAAGGGACCGUCGCUCUGCAUGUCUGUGCUUACUCACCCCACCCACACGUGGGGCCUGUGAUUCCCACGUCCCCCUGGAGGAAGCUGCCUCUUUGGAGAACUGGAUUCAGAGGACGUGAAAAUUAACCUGGUUUUGCCGUGUUCCUGGGCACCUGCCUCCAUGCACACCUGAGUUCAGGAGCCAUGUCCCUCCACUAGAGGGCGGGCAUCGUAGACGCCUGGUACGCCACCUGGGCUGUCGCGUGUGUUCCGGCCUCAGCCCUGGAGAAGGUAAGAGCUGGUGCCUGCAGGUCUUAAGUGCUCUGCCCGCUGUGUCGCAACCAUAAGCGAGCCGGGAAGGGAGCUUUCACUCAAGAGCCAGCUGCUGGCUGG